AUUGAACGCUGGCGGCAUGCCUUACACAUGCAAGUCGAACGGUAACGCGGGGGCAACCCUGGCGACGAGUGGCGAACGGGUGAGUAAUACAUCGGAACGUACCUGGUAGUGGGGGAUAGCCCGGCGAAAGCCGGAUUAAUACCGCAUACGCACCACGGUGGAAAGCGGGGGACCGCAAGGCCUCGCGCUAUCAGAGCGGCCGAUGGCAGAUUAGCUAGUUGGUGGGGUAAAAGCCUACCAAGGCGACGAUCUGUAGCUGGUCUGAGAGGACGACCAGGCAGACUGGGACUGAGACACGGCCCAGACUCCUACGGGAGGCAGCAGUGGGGAAUUUUGGACAAUGGGGGAAACCCUGAUCCAGCGAUGCCGCGUGUGUGAAGAAGGCCUUCGGGUUGUAAAGCACUUUUGUUCGGGAAGAAAUCUGUCGGGCUAAUACCCUGGCGGGAUGACGGUACCGGAAGAAUAAGCACCGGCUAACUACGUGCCAGCAGCCGCCGCCG
Molecule: ribosomal RNA, 500 nt
Filed under: uncultured bacterium
Lineage: Bacteria
Description: partial 16S ribosomal RNA
Rfam family: Bacterial small subunit ribosomal RNA
Source: RNAcentral